CCAGAGAGACAGGAGCUCCCAAGGCAAAGAUGCGAGAAAGAGCCAGACUGCAGGUCCAGCUUAAGCUGAAUUGCAUUACACGUUCAUAUUCUGACUCUAAAAGAGGCUUGCCCAAAGAAUGUCGGCUGGACAAAUGGUGUCAUCCUGUCUACAAAUGAAGCUAUUGAGAGUCUUCUGUAUACAAUUGCUUGCAAUAUUUGGUUACUUGAG
Long non-coding RNA from Alligator mississippiensis (American alligator), 210 nucleotides. RefSeq lists it as uncharacterized. The record is from RefSeq and is a predicted model, not a curated record. The transcript has 3 exons. NCBI's taxonomy places the organism in Eukaryota, Metazoa, Chordata, Crocodylia, Alligatoridae.